AUUGAACGCUGGCGGCAGGCCUAACACAUGCAAGUCGAGCGGAUGAAGGGAGCUUGCUCCUGGAUUCAGCGGCGGACGGGUGAGUAAUGCCUAGGAAUCUGCCUGGUAGUGGGGGAUAACGUCCGGAAACGGGCGCUAAUACCCCAUACGUCCUGAGGGAGAAAGUGGGGGAUUUUCGGACCUCACGCUAUCAGAUGAGCCUAGGUCGGAUUAGCUAGUUGGUGGGGUAAAGCCCUACUAAGGCGACGAUCCGUAACUGCUCUGAGAGGAUGAUCAGUCACACUGGAAUGGAGCCACGGUCCAGACUCCUACGGGAGGCAGCAGUGGGCAAUAUUCGACAGUAGGCGGAAGCCUGAUCCAGCGAUGCCGCGUGUGUGAAGAAGGUCUUCGGAUUGUAAAGCACUUUAAGUUGGGAAGAAGGGCAGUAAGUGAAUACAUUGCUGUUUUGACGUUACCAACAGAAUAAGCACCGGCUAACUUCGUG
This 484-nucleotide ribosomal RNA is filed under the name uncultured bacterium. RNAcentral describes it as "partial 16S ribosomal RNA". It matches the Rfam family "Bacterial small subunit ribosomal RNA", at positions 30 to 507 of the family's 1533-position model. The record is from RNAcentral.